AGAAUAGGUAUGGCAUCAACAGUGGUCGAGGUAGCUUCCCUCCUCCACUACCCCACCAAUGUGCCUCAAACCU
Molecule: unclassified non-coding RNA, 73 nt
Organism: Chelonoidis abingdonii (Abingdon island giant tortoise)
Lineage: Eukaryota; Metazoa; Chordata; Testudines; Testudinidae
Source: Ensembl